RNAcentral lists this ribosomal RNA (545 nucleotides) under Aureobasidium proteae. RNAcentral describes it as "eukaryotic LSU rRNA". It matches the Rfam family "Eukaryotic large subunit ribosomal RNA", at positions 68 to 628 of the family's 3401-position model. The record is from RNAcentral. Lineage: Eukaryota; Fungi; Ascomycota; Dothideomycetes; Dothideales; Saccotheciaceae.
ACAGGGAUUGCCCUAGUAACGGCGAGUGAAGCGGCAACAGCUCAAAUUUGAAAGCUAGCCUUCGGGUUCGCAUUGUAAUUUGUAGAGGAUGAUUUGGGGAAGCCGCCUGUCUAAGUUCCUUGGAACAGGACGUCAUAGAGGGUGAGAAUCCCGUAUGUGACAGGAAAUGGCACCCUAUGUAAAUCUCCUUCGACGAGUCGAGUUGUUUGGGAAUGCAGCUCUAAAUGGGAGGUAAAUUUCUUCUAAAGCUAAAUAUUGGCGAGAGACCGAUAGCGCACAAGUAGAGUGAUCGAAAGAUGAAAAGCACUUUGGAAAGAGAGUUAAAAAGCACGUGAAAUUGUUGAAAGGGAAGCGCUUGCAAUCAGACUUGUUUAAACUGUUCGGCCGGUCUUCUGACCGGUUUACUCAGUUUGGACAGGCCAGCAUCAGUUUCGGCGGCCGGAUAAAGGCUCUGGGAAUGUGGCCUCCACUUCGGUGGAGGUGUUAUAGCCCAGGGUGUAAUACGGCCAGCCGGGACUGAGGUCCGCGCUUCGGCUAGGAUGCUG